Molecule: ribosomal RNA, 292 nt
Filed under: uncultured prokaryote
Description: partial 16S ribosomal RNA
Rfam family: Bacterial small subunit ribosomal RNA
Source: RNAcentral
GUGCCAGCCGCCGCGGUAAUACGAAGGGUGCAAGCGUUAAUCGGAAUUACUGGGCGUAAAGCGCGCGUAGGUGGUUCGUUAAGUUGGAUGUGAAAGCCCCGGGCUCAACCUGGGAACUGCAUCCAAAACUGGCGAGCUAGAGUAUGGCAGAGGGUGGUGGAAUUUCCUGUGUAGCGGUGAAAUGCGUAGAUAUAGGAAGGAACACCAGUGGCGAAGGCGACCACCUGGGCUAAUACUGACACUGAGGUGCGAAAGCGUGGGGAGCAAACAGGAUUAGAAACCCGAGUAGUCC